Molecule: transfer RNA, 74 nt
Filed under: Enterococcus faecalis
Lineage: Bacteria; Bacillati; Bacillota; Bacilli; Lactobacillales; Enterococcaceae
Also listed under: 222 other names
Description: tRNA-Cys
Rfam family: tRNA
About the family: Transfer RNA (tRNA) molecules are approximately 80 nucleotides in length. Their secondary structure includes four short double-helical elements and three loops (D, anti-codon, and T loops).
Source: RNAcentral
GGCGCCAUAGCCAAGUGGUAAGGCAGAGGUCUGCAAAACCUUUAUCACCGGUUCAAAUCCGGUUGGCGCCUCCA